Molecule: transfer RNA, 55 nt
Filed under: Leipothrix sp. 1 XFX-2017
Lineage: Eukaryota; Metazoa; Arthropoda; Arachnida; Trombidiformes; Eriophyidae
Description: tRNA-Phe
Source: RNAcentral
ACCUUUUUAGUUUAAGUGGAACACAGUGCUGAAGACACUGAGGUUGUAAGGUAUA